UAUUCCCAUAACGGAUCAGAGAGUAGAGAGACAGCCCUCUCUGCUUCAGUAUUACCAACCAAGGCUGCUGCUGCUUCUCUGUCAGCCAUGCUGUCUCCCUCCUGCUUGGGACUUGUGAUCUUGUUGAUAUUGAGGGGGACCAAUGGAGACUCAGUGAACCAGACAGAAGGCUCUGUUACCCUCAUAGAGGGGGCAUUUUUAACCCUGAAAUGCAGUUACAAAACUAUCUAUUCAGAUAUUCUUUUCUGGUAUGUUCAAUAUCAAAACAAAGAGCCUGUUCUCCUCCUGAAAAGCUCAUCGGAUAACCAGGAGGUGAGGAACAGAGGUUUUUGGGCCAAGCUUGUGAAGACAGACAGAACUUUCCACCUGAAGAAAUCUUCAGUGCAAGUGUCAGACUCGGCUGUGUACUACUGCACUCUGGGAGACACAGUGAGGGAGGCUGCAGGGGGAGCUGAGCACAAACCCAAAGGGCUCACAUGGGGCUGAAGGGGACCAGCCGGGUUAUUCUAGGAGCCACAUUGACCCUCAGUGUCUGUUAUCAGGAAACAUACAGGUAUUUGCC
Molecule: non-coding RNA, 562 nt
Organism: Pipistrellus kuhlii (Kuhl's pipistrelle)
Lineage: Eukaryota; Metazoa; Chordata; Mammalia; Chiroptera; Vespertilionidae
Source: the annotation of a RefSeq genome assembly